Molecule: long non-coding RNA, 408 nt
Filed under: Sarcophilus harrisii (Tasmanian devil)
Lineage: Eukaryota; Metazoa; Chordata; Mammalia; Dasyuromorphia; Dasyuridae
Description: lncRNA (ENSSHAG00000022983.1)
Source: RNAcentral
CAGCCAAGCAGGCACAGACAACUGGAGCCUGUCAGACCAGAACCCUGCUGCCCUGCCCUGACAUGCUCCAGAAGCAAGAGCUAAGGAGCGCCAGCAAAUUUCACCAGAGACAACCUGUACAGAUAAGUAUCUGUCCUAGAAGGUGUCCAAGGCAGAUUUCAUCAAGGCCCUUGAAAACCUGCUGACACUCUUUACUGAUAAGUUCUUCCAGAAGUCUUUCACUCCUUCACGGUUUGUUGCCAAGAUCAAGUGAGAGAACAGGUUGAUGCUCCUGUCCUUUGUACGGGAAGAUGCUGCUUCUACCUCUUUUCUCUCGUUGUGUGGAUGAGGAUGCCCCAAAUCAUCUUACAGCUGCAUCAGUCCCCCUUGUGGUCAACUGCACUCAGCUACAGGACGACCGAAAGGUGC